Molecule: ribosomal RNA, 492 nt
Filed under: uncultured bacterium
Lineage: Bacteria
Description: partial 16S ribosomal RNA
Rfam family: Bacterial small subunit ribosomal RNA
Source: RNAcentral
AGUGAACGCUGGCGGUAGGCCUAACACAUGCAAGUCGAACGGCAGCACAGUAAGAGCUUGCUCUUACGGGUGGCGAGUGGCGGACGGGUGAGGAAUACAUCGGAAUCUACUUUUUCGUGGGGGAUAACGUAGGGAAACUUGCGCUAAUACCGCAUACGACCUACGGGUGAAAGCAGGGGAUCUUCGGACCUUGCGCGAUUGAAUGAGCCGAUGUCGGAUUAGCUAGUUGGCGGGGUAAAGGCCCACCAAGGCGACGAUCCGUAGCUGAUCUGAGAGGAUAAUCAGCCACACUGGAACUGAGACACGGUCCAGACUCCUACGGGAGGCAGCAGUGGGGAAUAUUGGACAAUGGGCGCAAGCCUGAUCCAGCCAUACCGCGUGGGUGAAGAAGGCCUUCGGGUUGUAAAGCCCUUUUGUUGGGAAAGAAAAGCAGCAGGUUAAUACCCCGCUGUUCUGACGGUACCCAAAGAAUAAGCACCGGCUAACUUCGUG